CUCAGAGGCUCCUGGCCAUCCUCACCCUGAGUGCAAAGCCAGCCCCAGGAGCCCCCCAGGGUGCUCUGGAUCCAGGCUGAGACACCCUCAAGCCAUCACUGAAAGGGACAUGGAUGGGGACUGCAGCUGGAUCUUCCAGUGCUCACCACCCCUGACUGUGCUCCAGGUGAACCCAAACCUCAGCUGCAGCACCUUGAGCACAUUGACCCUUCUUGCCCAUCCUGGAACGUGGUGUUCCCACAUUAUACUCAAGGCCUUUGCAGAGAGUGACCGGCUCCCAGCUGAUCUGCUACCAUGGCCUUUCUUUUUCCCAGAAAUUAACAUAAUGGAUACACUCAUGAGAAUCUCUAUAAAACAUUUGCUUCUCAAGACCUCUUAGGCAAAAAACCUCCACCAAAUACUAUUUUGUGCACAGAGAGGGAGGUGCUGAUAGACAUAAGGCACAGACAAGGCUCUGACAUAAGAGCUCCUGAGCCACAGGAUUCUAUGCAUUGAUGUUCCCAGCUGCUUUGCUCAUAUUUUAUAGCCAGUUCUGGACAGGGGUUGCUGCUGACAAGGUAGGAGGGGUGUCUCAGCCUCAGCCACAGCAGCUCCGUGUCAGCAGUGGGAGCAAAAAGGAAACAAAACAAAACCGGACAAGGGGACAUCUCCUGCAUGGUGCUAAGUCAAGGCUCUGCUGCCAAACCACCCAUCAGCACAUUGCACUCACUCAGCAUCAGCUACAGGUGUUCCUCCUGUUCUAAGGGAGCUGGUGCUGGUGCUGUUCACAGCAUUUCUCACCAGCUUUGGGUACUUUGUUCAGCUAUCCAGCAGAGCUGGACACACGAUGGACCUCAGGGACUCCUCAGGAGAGCAGAGAUCAUGAGGGAGUUCAUGAGGGAUAUGUUGGACAUGCCGUAGCCCAGAGGGUGCUUGUGGUGCAUGUGCCAUUGCUACCAUCUCUCCUAAAGCAAGACACCCCUAAAUCAACCAGUGUCCAACAUGGCACAACAUGUCUAAAAAGUGUCGGGAGUCCUUGCUGUCAUUGCUGUCCUUUGCUGUCCCAGCUGCUCCUACAAGGCUUCUCCUGUCCCACCUUACUGGUCUGGCUGCCUGGGGUCAUACCUGACAGAGAAACCAGGGCUGGACCCAUGGUGGUACUAACCCUUUUCAUGUACUUCUCAUAUUUUCUCUUGGCAUUUCUCCAAUUUUCUAUUUCUUUUUCUUUCCUCUUUCAUGAAAAAAAAGUUGUAUUUUCCCUUUGGAUUCCCAACAUGCAACCUCGUUUGUGUUUUAAUCUCAUUUUCAGGUAUAUUUAUAACUAAAUUUCAUUCUGCAAUUGUGGAUUGAGGCUCCUUACCUUAAGCUUAUCAGAACAUCCUGCUUAUCUACUUCCCACGUUAAAGCCAUUGCUCCAUAAAUUCUAGAAAAUUCAAUAUAAUGAUCAUUUUUGCCUAAGACUCACAUGUCUAUGGAUAUGGAGUUUACAAUACACAUUCAUGUUUAUGUCUACAGGGCUACGUUGUAGUGCUUCCACGUCCUGCCCCAAAAUCCGUAUUUCCUUAACUGGGGUUUAAAGUUUGGAUUGUCUUACAUCUGUGCAUGUGUUUAUCCAUCUGCAGGAGGGGACGUGGUAAAAGUGUCAGAGUAACAGCAAGAUGUUGCAAAAAAAGAGGCUUUAUUAGAAAUGUGUUCAAAGAAACCCCAAACCAACAAACUGUAAUAGCUAAUGGUCUUACAGUCUCAAGUCAAACUUACUUCUAUUAGAGUAAAAUACUGUGACCUAAGAGCUGUGAAAUAGCAAUAUUUCAGAGUUACAGUACUAGUUUAAAAACCAAAGAAACAGCACUGAAAUGUUUAGUUUCAAAAGUAUACUUUACCUAAAUUGGAAAUAUGACAGUUUUUAUUUUCCCUUGAAGCAUGAUGCUAAAUGUAACAUUUACAAAAAAAAAAAAAAAAAAAAAAAAAAAAAAAAAAAGUUGAAAACCCAGGACUUAAACAUAUUUUGAUUAUACAGUCAUGAUUAAUAAAGAAAUUCUUCUUUCAGUCUUCUUUGGAGAAGAUCCAUCUGUAAUGGUUAAUCAUGAACUUACAGAAUUUGCCAGUUCAUUUUAUAGCAAUAUCACACCUUUAUUCACAUUCCCAACUUUGUGGUUUAGUUCUGAAAAUGAGCUUAUUUUAACUGAACCAUGCAGCAGCUUGCUUUGACUCUGAUGGAACUUGUUUUGUAUACAAUUUUGUUUGAAGAAAUGAAACACUGGGGCAGUUGUUGAGCUGUCCUUAUGUCCCAUGUUAAAUAAAUAAAAAUCUAUCUGUUUUAUGAGACCAGGUUACAUAAAAAGGCAGAUGAGGUGAAUUACGAGUGGGUUAAAACUCAAACAUCCUUGAAGCCAUAAGCCUGAAGUCUGUCUCCUUUCACAUGGGAAGAAAUUAAAGAGAAAGCAAACCAGAUACUGCUGAGAAAGUUUGUUUUACUUCUGGCUGCACAAAGCAGCUCAGCUGCCUGGUGCGCCUAGCCCAUGCAUCAGCUGCUGAAGCAUGAAUUUGUUUCACUCCUCAAAUGAAGCUGAAAGCACUUUGGGAAAGCGGUGAACCCACACACAUUUAUGGUGUCAAACGUUUUCAUGUCUGUUGGUGGAAUUUGCAACACAUCCUUGAGUAGAGUUGAUUCUGUUUCUGGUUUGACAAAGUUCUUUCUGGGGGAAAUGGUUUUUUCCUUCUUAAAUUGUUUUCAGCUGCCAUUUUUACUGUACUUUUGUUGUUGUUUGGUGAAUUAUGCAAAGGAAAGGACAGCAAUCAGCCUACGCAUAAACAGUGGCAAAGCCUCAUUCAGCUGCAGUAAUACCAAAAUUUCAAGUGAGUUCACAGUACUACAGCAUGGAUGAGCAGAAAUGCCUCCUGGUGACUGAUCAGGGCUCCAGCUGUGUAAACAGUGGCCCUGUGUGAAAGCACAAAAGGCAAAGAUCCCGGGCUGGGAUAAGAACAAGUUACUGGGAACCGCAACAAUAUUGAGAACAGAAGGGAUAAGACAAAGAAAUGAUUUACAGGGAAAACUGUGACAACGCUGACCCGGCUGUUCUGGACCAUGUAUUUUCUUCCACCUGGAAAGGACUCCCUUCUCUUUGGGAGAGAGUUCCUUUCUCUGUCUCUGGCAAUGGCCUGAGGUGGGAUUGAAGAUAAUGAUGGGGACAUGGCCAGACUCUCAUGUUCUUUGGUCCCACCUCACAUCAUUGCCAGGUGCAAGCAAAGGGACAGGUGUCUUCCCAAUGUGGAUGUUGGGGAAUGCAGGUCACCAGGUCUCUGCCCAACAUGGGUCCUGUGAUAGGGAUGAAGUUGGAACAGAGGACAAAGCUCUUUGUGCAACUGGGGGCAUUCACAGGGCUUCCCUUAUUGGUGGGUUCGUUGGUGUUGGGUCAAGGAUGACUGCGAGGAGAAGCUCUUCCCAAACUCCAGACAUUUGUAGGGCCUCUCCUAGUGUGGAUGCACCAGUGGGAGAUGAGGUUGGAGUUGAGGUAGAAACCCUUCCUGCAGUCAGGGCAGCGGAAAUGCCUCUCCUCCAUGUGAAUCUUCUGGUGCAGGAGGAGAUUGGAGCUUGUAUAAAACCUCCUCCCACAAUCAGGACACUCAUAGGGUCCCUCCUCAGUGUGGAUCCACUGGUGGCAAAUCAGGUAGGAGCUCGUGGUAAAGCUCUUCCUGCAUUCCUGGCACUCCAAGGGCUGUUCACCACUGGGGAUGUGCUGGUGCCUAAAGAGGACAGGUUGCACUGUAAUGUCAUGGCUUGCCUCAGUUUCCCCUGGUUUCUUCCUGAAGUUUCCUUCCCCAGGUGGGGUGUCAAUCACCUCUCCUUUCCCCACCCUUGACCCCUGCUGGGCAUUGUCUAUGAACCCAGAAAUUCCAAGGGGAGCGUUGAGUGAUUGGCAGGUUCAAAGGAUGCUCUCCACCCCCUGGGGGGCCAUUGGCCCACCCAGGUGUCCUUCUCACCCAAGACCCCUCCCCUCAUACCUGGUUGGUAGUCUCUCUGUUCCCUCCCCUGCCCUCUCCCCAGGUAAAAGGACAAACAGACCAUGCCGUUGGGGUUCUGGUGGAGAGUGCUGCUGGAGUUGUUGCAGGAUUCAGAGGCCAUGAGGCUCAAAGUAAAAACUCUGGAUUAAAAACUCUCCAUCAGGACCCACUCCUUCUUCACCUUGCCUUAAAGGUUUCUCCAGCUCAGGAAGGCUUCAGGAGUCACCUCCCUUUAACAGCAAGCUCCAGCCGCAAGCACUGGAGUUCGGGGCAUGCCCAACUUGUCUCCACGUGACCAGCUGCGACCACAGAAUUCCCCAUUGCCAGAACCACAGUCCAGCAAUAAGGGUGCUUUCCUGAAGGCAUAUGGCUAUCAGUCCUCAUGGUGGGCAUGCAGAAUGGGGAGAAGGAGGAGAAUGUAACUUGUGAUGAACUUUAUGACAGUGAACACCAGAAUGACCUGCCCAGGUGUUGUGGUGGUGGUGGCAAAUCGAGAACCACCUAAUGAAGAAAGCCAAAUCUAGUCAAAGCAUUUUCAGCUAAAUGCAGUUUACAUAAAAGAAUAAGUAAAAAACAAAGAUCACAGUCUUUUUGUUGUUGUGUUCGAGGGUGCCAAGGGUGAGGGAUGAGAUGAGAAUCUUGACUCCAUGUUUCAGAAGGCUGAUUUAUUAUAUUAUCAUAUAUAUUAUAUUAAAAUGAUACACUAAAACUAUACUAAAAGAAUAGAGAGAAAAUGGUCCUUCAGAAGGCUAGAAAGAAAAGGAAUGGAAUGCAUAACAAAAUCCUGCGACUGCUCACAGCCUCAACACAGGUGGCUGUGAUUGGUCAUCAAUUGAAAACAAUCCACAUGGACCAAUCUGAGAUGCACCUGUUGCAUUCCACAGCAGCAGAUAGUUAUUGUUUACAUUUGUUUCCUGAGGCUCCUCAGUUUCUCAGGAGAAAAUCCUGGCAAAAGGAUUUUUCAGAAAAUAUCAUGGCUACAGUCCUUCUGCUUACUUUUUUUUUUUUUUUCCUCCUAAUUUCCUUGGGAAAAUUUUUGGGAAUAUUUCAGGAUACUGAAUCCAGGAUAGUUCCUGUGAUUGGGUGACUGAUGAAAUCUUUGGCAUGAAAAAUGUAUGCAUCCUUCUGGUAGAUGGAAUAAAAAUAAAUACUAAAACCCAGCUGGUAAAGCCAGGGUGUUUCUUUCUGGCAGUUCUGUGAAGCAGAGUCUAACUGGCUCAUCCCAGGCAGGGUUUUCACUCAGUGGAUCACAGGUCCCUGCAGAGGUGUCCAUGAGAGCAGCUCCUUGGAGUCCCAUGUGCUCGGUGGGCAUCCAUCCAGUCAGUCAGUGGAGAAUGUGGGAUGACUCGCAGGAGCAGAUGAAGGUGCCUGUUUUGGGAUGAAAUUAAACCUUCCUGCAGCUUCCUUGCCUGUUGUCGGGGUUGUGGGUGGCUCUACCAGUCUGUCCAGGGAGACUCCCCGGCUGCAAGGAGCUGCCCUAAAUUCCUUUGUGGAGGGGGCAGUCAGAAGCUUUGCUGAGCAGAGGCUGCCCAGCAAGUGCAGUGUGACUGCAGGAUGCAGCAGAAGCAAGGCAGAAGAAGAGGAGGUAACCUGGGCACGAGUUGAUUGAACAGCAGCAAUGUUCAGCACUUACUGCCUCAAUCCCGUAAUUCAGGGAUUCAACCUGUGUCAGAGACAAGAAAGCCCCUAAUCAGCCCUGUCUUGGUACUGGGAGGCUUCUCACAGCCCUUGUGGGACCUUGCCAGAAGUGGAGGCUGGACCUUCACAGAGUAGGAAGAAACUUUACCCUGAGAAAUUUAAAACUGUGUUCAAAUAAAGAGGGAAGCCUAUAGGAAUCACCUCUACCAAGCCCCCUGAGAUUUUUGUUAAAGCUGUAUUCAUGGUUAUAGCUAAAUGGCACGGGGCUAAUAGCGCCUCACACUUUACAAUUCCGUUAGAGACUUCAUGUUAAUCUAAGUGCUUUUUAUUGCCUGCACUGAUACAGAAAUAAAGCAAUUCAAAUGCAUCACAAAGACAUGAUUUCCUUCUUUUCCUCAUGUGAUAGUUGAGGAUCUGAAACACAAAUGUGGUAAGGCAGAAGAACUGUGAUGAGAAAUAAAGAUUCUCUUCUGUCCAUUUGCACAAAGAAAACCCUGUAGUUUUUGAGGUUUCCUGCAAAUACUCAUCUUUUCUUCUUAAGUAUAGAAGACUAAGCAUAUUUAAAGGUCUUUUUUAGAAAUGCAAAGAUAAUAUAUUUAAAAUUAAUUAAUGCAGUGUACCAUUAAUCAAGUCUUCUUGAAAAGCUUUAAUUUAACUGGAAAGGUCUAUUAGAUUUUGUUGUAGUUUUUAAAUUAAGCAAUUUAUUUAUAAUGCCUUUAAUAGUUGAGAAUAUUGCCCACAGAAGAAUUAGAUCUUGAGCAAUCUUUAACUCUGGAGGUUUGACUCAACUCUCAGGUCAUGAAUAUGAAAUUACUUCACAGAAUAUCCACAAGGAUGAUGUUUCAAUUACAGCUUAAUGAGAACUUAAAAAUACCUUGCACUAAAUGAUCUUAAA
Molecule: long non-coding RNA, 6514 nt
Organism: Passer domesticus (house sparrow)
Lineage: Eukaryota; Metazoa; Chordata; Aves; Passeriformes; Passeridae
Exons: 2
Source: RefSeq, a predicted model, not a curated record